UUUGCGUUCGCGCUUUGGGAAGUUGCAUGCAGCCCUUUGGAGGAUCUGCACCCAGCGCGGGGCAGCCUGCAUGCGGUCCAGUGCCGAAGGACAGGAGAAGGUCACUUCCCGGAGAGCUCUGCAGAGCGUGCCACCACCAGUAGGCUCAAGAAGUAUUGGCUGCCUCCAUCCCUGCCUCUGCCCUGCCCCUGCCCAGCCUGUACUCACCUCUGCCAGCAGUUUCCAGAUUCAAGAUAAAUGCUCGGGAGCUCCACGGUAACCCUGUCCUUGGGAACCAUCCAUUCAUUCACCGUUCAGCAAACAUUGAUUGAGGGCCUAGAAAUCGACAGAAUCACAGAGAAGGAUUUCUUGUCCAGAAUCUUACCAGGUGUCUCAUGGAAAAAAAAAAAAAAAAGCAUUCUGUCCGUUCCUGGCCUUCUGCUGACCAAACUGCUCCAAUCCGGACCACAUGAGAGGCCAGAUGGGAAACAGUGCAUUUCAUCCACUCCAACCUCGUCCUCAGAACACCCUCUCCCCCCCUGCUUGAAAAGAAAAGCUGCCAUGCAAAUCAACGGUUA
This 557-nucleotide long non-coding RNA is filed under the name Ursus maritimus (polar bear). RNAcentral's name for it is "lncRNA (ENSUMAG00000021230.1)". Lineage: Eukaryota; Metazoa; Chordata; Mammalia; Carnivora; Ursidae. The record is from RNAcentral.